This is an RNA transcript of Perca fluviatilis (European perch), 1975 nucleotides long. It is a transcript of the gene named CTD nuclear envelope phosphatase 1A, with no coding region annotated. The transcript is spliced from 9 exons. The record is from RefSeq and is a predicted model, not a curated record. NCBI's taxonomy places the organism in Eukaryota, Metazoa, Chordata, Actinopteri, Perciformes, Percidae.
GCGCAACCACAGGAUUCCUCGCGGAAGUGACGGCAAGGCGGCGAUGGCGGCUCGCAGUUUCAUUCCGGAUUUCCACUGGACUACAAGCUGAUUUUAACCGGACCGGUUAGACUUUGUGGAACUUUUGUUAAGCUGUCUCUCUUCGGACGCCGCACAGAGUGAAGUCGCGUUGAACCGGUGCUUGACAACAAGCGGCCCCACAGCUUUUUUGGGGUAUUUUUGUCCAAGGUUCAAGGUGGUCACCCUGUCGAGCUAGCGGUAGCUUGGUGGCUACAAGCUAACGUUAAAUGGUAUACAGCUAGCUCAUGAGCUAGCUUGUCGACGAGCUGCGCGCUAAGGUCCAUACAGCAGCAGUCGUCUUGCAGCAGCUUUUCUUUUGACGACGUCCACGUUUGUUUCAAAGUUACAAUGCGAAUGUAUUCUAUUUAAUGCUAAUUGUGCCACAAGUGUGCAGAGCGAGGUACUCACACGUUUGCUUGGCCUCUUGUUAAUUUGAAUUGCUAGUUUGGCGGCUUUGGCUAAAGACGAAUUUUGACUAUUACUAGCAAGCAAGUUCCUUAAGUAAUUAUCCCAACAAUUUCCGACAAAAGCGUGCAAUCAACUGAGAAUUGAAGUUGAGUUACUGUGGGGUCUUUGCGUGCUCGUCAACAUGCUGAAGACCCGGCAAUGUUUACUUGGCAUCCGCACUUUUCUCGGAGUAACAUCGAGAAUAUGGGGCUUCAUUAUGUACAUCCUCAGGAAGCACCUACGAACGAUAAUCCAGUAUCAGACGGUGCGAUACGACACUUUGCCUCUUUCGCCUAUCUCCAGAAACAGACUCAAUGCAGUAAAGAGGAAGAUUCUGGUUUUGGACCUGGACGAGACGCUGAUCCACUCUCACCAUGACGGGGUCCUCAGACCCACAGUGAGACCUGGCACGCCGCCAGACUUCAUCCUCAAAGUUGUCAUUGACAAGCACCCAGUCAGAUUCUUCGUACAUAAAAGGCCACAUGUUGACUUCUUUUUAGAAGUGGUGAGCCAGUGGUAUGAGCUGGUGGUUUUUACAGCCAGUAUGGAGAUCUAUGGAUCAGCUGUGGCAGACAAGCUUGACAACAACAGGAACAUCCUUAAACGCAGAUACUACAGACAGCAUUGUACAUUGGAUUUAGGUAGUUAUAUUAAAGACCUAUCUGUAGUACACGAUGACCUGUCCAGUAUUGUCAUCCUGGACAAUUCGCCUGGUGCUUAUCGUAGCCAUCCAGACAAUGCAAUACCCAUCAAGUCCUGGUUCAGCGACCCUAGUGACACAGCACUUCUUAACUUGCUGCCUAUGCUGGAUGCACUAAGACAAUCUCGUCGUAGGACCCAGCAUACUAGCAGCAUGGCUAAAUGCUAGCACCAUGGAGAACACAAUGGAAACACAAACGGGCGACACACCCACACCGCCGCACAACCCUGCGGCUAACCGCCGCAACGCCGGAUCCUAUGUGAAUGCCGGCUAAAGAUGCCCCAUCUACACUACCCUACAAUGUUCACUGCUGAUGUGCGCUCCGUCCUCAGUCGAAACCUCCACCAGCACCGACUUUGGUGAUUGGCUGAAUCAAGAGGGGUGGGGCUUGUUGACCAGCCUCUUCCUCUCUAUCGGCUUCCAUCCUGCUCUCCGUUCCCACACAGACGACCCACCAGCCCUCUCUGAGCCUCUCGGACGUGUCCUGAUGAGAUGAGCGUUGGGGUGACCGCCUAACAUGGGAUGAACAGUACGGGAUCACCAGAGCCCAGAAACUACUGAGGAGGGUGGGGUGGUGGGGGGGGCAGCAGCAGCUUUUUUCUUGAUUCUUUAUUUGUAUUUUUUUUCUUUUCAUUUUUUUUUUUCCCCAAAACAAAACGGAGCCUCUCUGCCUUAUUGCUCCUGAUACUGACUGUGUGCAUAUGGGGGUAAGCUUGUGUACGUUGAGUCAGAGUAUGCUUGCUGAGUUCAUUAGUCCUUUUUAAACUG